AUAUCAUGAUGAGGACAUCUUCUGAGUAGCUCUUUAAAUCUUUCUUUUUAUCAUACAAGCUUUCAUCUUCAAGUUGAUGAAAAUAAAUGAUCUCAUUCCUCAAUUU
This 106-nucleotide small nucleolar RNA is filed under the name Citrus sinensis (sweet orange). Its description in RNAcentral is "Plant small nucleolar RNA R71". It matches the Rfam family "Plant small nucleolar RNA R71". Rfam says of the family: R71 is a member of the C/D box family of snoRNAs containing the C (UGAUGA) and D (CUGA) box motifs. Multiple nearly identical copies of this snoRNA have been identified in Arabidopsis, and it is thought to function as a 2'-O-ribose methylation guide for 18S ribosomal RNA. The record is from Rfam by way of RNAcentral. Lineage: Eukaryota; Viridiplantae; Streptophyta; Magnoliopsida; Sapindales; Rutaceae. RNAcentral also lists the same sequence under 1 other name.